Pangasius djambal is the source of this 70-nucleotide non-coding RNA. The record is from the annotation of a GenBank genome assembly. NCBI's taxonomy places the organism in Eukaryota, Metazoa, Chordata, Actinopteri, Siluriformes, Pangasiidae.
UAGUGGCUCAGUGGGUAAGGCAUCGGUCUACUGAGCGGAAGGUCAUGAGUUCAAAUCCCAGAACCGCUAA